AUCUGCAUGGCCCUGUGACCUCAACAUGGCCCUAGAACAUCUGCAUGGCCCUGGAAUGGAGGCACUGCCCUAGAACACCUGCAUGGCCCUAGAACACCUGCAUGGCCCUGUGACAUCAACAUGGCCCUAGAACAUCUGCAUGGCCAUGGAACAUCUGCAUGGCCCUAGAACAUCUGCAUGGCCCUAGAACAUCUGCAUGGCCCUGGAAUGGAGGCAUUGCCCUAGAACACCGGCAUGGCCCUAGAACACCUGCAUGGCCCUGGAACAGAGGCAUGGCCCGAGAACAUCUGUAUGGCCAUGGAAGGGAGGCAUGGUUCUAGAACAUCUGCAUGGCCCUAGAACAUCUGCAUGGCCCUGGAAUGGAGGCACGGCUCUAGAACAUCAGCAUGGCCCUGGGACAUCAGCAUGGCGCUAGAACAUCUACUUGGCCCUGGAAUGGAGGCAUGGUGGCUCUGGAAUGAAGGCAUGGCUCUUGAACAUCUGCAUGGCCCUGAGACAUCAGCAUGGCCCUAGAACAUCUGCAUGGCCCUGGAAUGGAGGCAUGGUGGCCCUGGAAUGGAGGCAUGGUGGCCCUGCAAUGGAGGCAUGGCCCUAGAACAUCUGCAUACCCCUGGGACAUCAGCAUGUCCCUAGAACAUCUGCAUGGCCCUAGAAUGGAGGUAUGCCCUGAAAUAUGGAGCCAUGAGAGAAGACUUAAUAAGAAGCAGCAGGGGAGUCAGAGGCUUGGAUAGGAGGCCAGAGCUGCGAGCACAGUGGGAGAAGCUCCCCAGUCCAACAAACUAGAGGACGGUCAGUGGCACGAAGAAGAGUGAACAGGUGGAGGUGGAGGGGGAAUAAAGGGAGGUCAACGAGGCAGGGUCAAGCCUGGAGCAGCCAGACAUCCUGCAGGCCGAGCUGUGCCCGGGGGCCUUGUCUGUGUAAAGCUGCCACGGGGCUUCCCAUACAAGUGAAACCCAAGGAUCAUUCAGGACGUUCAAAGGUCCACCCAGAGCAGGAACGGGGCCAGAUGGGAGCUGAGCCCUCCAUGCACCCGAGGCCGUGAUCAUCUGAGCUGCAUCUGGAGCAGGCCAGGGCCAGGAUCCUUACAAGGGGAGGUGGGGCACCAAGGGAGGGAGAGGCCAGAUGAGUUGGAGGCUCUGACAAUUAUGGAAGUGAAGGAGUUAACACGGAAGCAAAAAUGAGCCACGAGGCCAUGGAAACACACAGCACCAACUCCCCCCUCGAAUUCCACUCAGAAUCAAACACAUGCUUGACUUAAAUUACAUAUGUUGCUGGGUUGAGAAGCAGGAGAAAAUAAAUUCAUUUAUGACUAGCACUAAAAAGGAAAACCUUCUAGUCACUGCUUCAUGCUUACGGUUUUCAUGUAGCGCAGAAAAACCCAAAUAGCAUCUGAUGCAAUUUACAUAACUUUACAUAAUCUCAUGGUUACCAUUCGGCAAAGAACUUCCAGACCACAUCUCUUCCACUUAUUUGCCGCCAAAAAAGACAAAUUGGAAAAUAUUCUGGACAGCAGCUUUCUACCCUACUCUUAAAAAUCACCAAGAAACCAACUCUACAACUUUUCUCAGUGAUAUUCAGUCUGACCAUUUUAAUCUAAAGUCUUAAUGAUAUAAUCUAAUCAAUAAACAAAUAUUUACAGACCUCCUGCUAUUUUCAAAGCAUCGAUUUCAGAACUGGCCAGAAUCCUCUUAGCUUAAAAUCUACUUCAAACUGCCUGAUCUGGGAACAAACACACUUUCUUCAACUAUGAAAUAAGAAUAAUACCAGCCACUUCAAAAGGAUGUUCUGAGGAUUGACAGGAUUAAACGUCGUUACCUGGUACCACAGGAGGUGCACACAAAAGUAUCUUCUAAUUGGAGAGCUAUGACACAAACAGAAUGAAAUUCGUGAUUCAUUCAUUCACUGUUCAAGAUGACCAAAGAGAGUGUGUGGGGCCAGGCACACUGGCUCACGCCUGUAACCCCAGCACUCUGGGAGGCCAAGGUGGAAAGAUCAUUUGAGCUCAGGAAUUCGAGACUAGCCUGGGCAACACAGGAAGACCCCCAUCUCUACGAAAAUACAAAAUUAGCUAGGCAUGGUGGUGCGUGCCUGUAGUUCCAGCUACUCAUGAGGCUGAGGUAGAAGGAUAGCUUGACCCCGGGAGGCAGAGGUUGCAGUGAGCCAAAAUUACGCCACUACAUUCCAGACUGGAAGACAGAAUGAGACCCUGUCUCAAAAAAAUAAAAAUAAAAAAGAGAGUGUGUGGCAUAUUGUGAGUAGUGAAAAACAAAUACAAACACCAAACACGGAUUUCUGGGGGGAAAAAAAAACUAUUCAUUUUUUACUCAUAAACAAAGAGUUAUUUGCCAUUACCUAUAUGAAGGGUUUUGAUUCACAGCAGGACUCUUUUAUGAUGUGAUGUGUAAAUGAUAGAUAUUAAAAUUAAAUACUGUUUACACCAAAAGUUACAAACACAUACAUACCUACUCUCUCUGUCACACACAUCUACAAGCCAAGCCCAUCCUGGUCUACACCAUGAUGAAUGUGUACACAGACUCUCUACUUGAUCAGAUAGAAUUCAAAACCAUGGGAAUUGUUGUAAAAGGUCCAUUCAGUGCCUAUUGAGAAAGGGUUACUUUGUUUCCUACCUGAAUGUUCCCUCUUUCACACACCAUCAUCAAAAAUGGCUUUUUGACAAUACAAUACUAACUCACUUUUUAAAAUAUUUAUUUAAAACUUUUAGAAUAUUUAAACAUUUUUUAAUAAAAUAUCUAACUAUGACUUUUGGUUUAUUUACAGACAUACUUGUCAAAUAAUCCUACCCUUUCUUAUACCAAUGUGUUCUGCUCUCUUAUUACUAAGCUAUCUAAUAUUUAAUGAGUGUCUCUCUGCUUCCCUCAAGCCUGGGUGCCCAGUUAGGAUUCAUUAUGAGUUUUUAGCAUAUAUACUAAAUUUUCUUAUUGAUAAACAAAUGGAACUCCAGUUACAAUGUCAGAUAACCAAAGAAAAUAAUGUGAUUGUUUAAGUUCCCUUAAUAUUACUGAAAUGUCAUUUACAUUAUAAAAUAUAAAUUUUAAAAAGGGUCAGUCUCAUAAAAACACAACCUAAUUCUACUUUUUGGAGUCCACAGUUGAGCCAUGUCACAGCUGGGUAAGUCCUGCUUGUCUAGUCACUUUCCUGUCCCAUGUGCCACCUGCCAGCAUCUUGUCCUCUACAAUCAACUACAGUAAAAAUGGCAAUUCCCAAAAACGUUCCUAAAACCAGGCUUUAAAACUUGGCAGGAGCUGCCCACAUAAACAUAAGGCCAUCUUCACACUUUCUCCUCACACUUCAUGAAUAAACAUUCCUUUAUUCAAAUGAGUUGUAUAUUAACUAACUCCACUAAUUUUGAUUUAACUUUGAAUGGUAAAUUGAGUAAUUCUGCCAAGACUGCAGAGUACGCAAUUCAAAUGACAGAAAUUUUAAUAACGGGGAAAAUAAAAAUUAGCAGCAUGACUCCUAAGGCACUAUAAUUCCAACACUUUUAUGGCAACAGUAGAAAGCACUCAUAAAUACGUCUCCAUUUACAAGCCAAGGGGUGUUAUUUGGAGCCACAUCAUCACACAUACUUACCUGCAAUCUUCCACGAGCAUCUUUUUGGGGGCUCGGCAGGCACCGACUAAAUCUCCAAAGCUCCCCAGCCCCAGACAUUAAGAGGUAAUGUCACUGCUUUUCAAUAAAUAACAAUGAAGUCGUCACUGGAUUAAAUGAUUUCCAUACAUUCUCACCAUAAACAAUAAUUAUUUGGCAGCUGCCCCUUGCAAGCAUUGCAUGCGCUUAUGAAUAAAUCAAGCCUUAUAGAUUUACUAAACCAAAACGUUUUACAUUUUGCUCCACUAAUAAGAGCCAUAAUCCUCCGCGGCACUGGGUGACGCUUUAAUGUCAUAUGUUCCUUAAUACUUUUAAUAUGAAAGAUUAGCCCUGAUUAGCUCACAAGCAGGAACGCUGCUCUGAACGGCCGAUUGGUCACAGAGCCCAGGUCUCUAAAUGCGUCUUUAUUAAUGGAGCUCUGCCUGCUGAUGGGAAUCCCCUAGUGAUGACAUCUCCUGGAGCUGCCGCCAUGCUGUUUCUCCUUCCUUGUACCAUUUCACAGACUAAUGAUGGCUUGCAUUAAUUCACAGCUUACAUUAAUUUAAAAGAGCCAUGCAAGAAAACAUGGGACUGCACAGGGUCCUAAGUGCUCUGUAAAACUAUCAUCUAAGAUAAUAAAACCACUUUCUUUCAAUGCAGUGACUCCAGUUACUAGAAAACUACUUUGGACAAUCCCAAAGUGUCCUCGAAGAUCUGGAGCUCUGCAACCUCCAUCUGACAAGGAAAGGCAUUCUCUCCCUUCCCCCAUGAAACAAGGGCAAAAUUCCCAAACAUUCCCAGGCUGUUAUCCACAACCAACUGACUUGACUCAGCUUCCGCUGAUUACUCAGCUAAGGGCUAAAAACUCUCAGUUCUCUGGUUCCAAUGGGGAACUGGGGUCUACAAUUCUUUAUGGGGGAAAAUUCUACCCAGGCAUACACCGUAACUUGCUGACCUAAUGACAGUGUCUCACAAUCUGUUAAACUGUCAUCACCUCCAACAGUAAUUCACAAACUUGAUGUCUGUGCUUUGGACAGAUUCCUGGGCUAGACGUCCAUGGAUCUUAACUCCAAACUAAACUCCAUUCCUCGUGCAUUAUAUAGGAAAACUAGCACCCAAACCCUCCUUCCUUUCUUCCUUCACAAGGGUCACAAACCUAGACAUUUCAGACUAGAAAGCUCUUUAGAGAUUCUAUACCACAACCCCCUUGAUAUGGUUUGGCAGUGUCCCCUCCCAAAUCUCAUCUUGAUUUGUAGCUCCCAUAAUUCCCCACAUGUUGUGGGAGGGACCCAGUGGGUGGUAACAGAAUCAUGGGGCGGGUUUUUCCCACGCUAUUCUCAGGAUAGUAAGUCUCAAGAGAUCUGAUGGUUUUAUAAAGGGAAAUUCCCCUGCACAGGCUCUCUUGCCUGCCACCAUGUAAGACGUGCCUUUGCUCCUCAUUUCUAAUUUGCCUUCUACCAUGACUGUGAGGCCUCCCCAGCCAUGUGGAACUGUGACUCCAUUAAACCUCCUCUUUUUUUU
This 5109-nucleotide long non-coding RNA is filed under the name Homo sapiens (human). RNAcentral describes it as "HSALNT0158553". The record is from RNAcentral. Lineage: Eukaryota; Metazoa; Chordata; Mammalia; Primates; Hominidae.